Molecule: long non-coding RNA, 2115 nt
Organism: Sapajus apella (tufted capuchin)
Lineage: Eukaryota; Metazoa; Chordata; Mammalia; Primates; Cebidae
Exons: 3
Source: RefSeq, a predicted model, not a curated record
CUCAGCCUCCCAAAGUGCUGGGAUUACAGGCAUGAGCCACCACGCCCGGCCAUCUUGUGAUUCUUUAGACCAUGGUCCGCUGUUCCAGCCCCAGGCUUAGCACAGGGAAUGGGAUGGAGGAGCUGGAAGACGCUUAUUGAAUGUUUGGUGAAAAAUGAAGUGGGGGAAAGCACAGGAGUGAGUUGGGGGGCGAGGGGUGGCUGUGAGGGAGCGUGACCUCCGCUCCCGGCCCUCCAGCGUCCAGGGACAGCGGCAGAAAGAGGAGAAGAGUGACCAGAGGGAGGGAGGGUGCAGCAGGCCUCUGAGCACGAAGACCCGUCUCCACAGGGGAGUGGAAGGAGUGCGUCUGCAUGUGGCCGAGGGCAUGCGAGGAUUGUGAGCGGCUUGGUGAUUCCCUCCCUCUCCCACUGCCACAGGAUGAGGCCACACGAGGCCUGGCAACAGCAGUGGCUCCAGCUGAAGAAAACCCUGGGUGGUCACACGGGCGUGAUGGCCAGCUGCGUUCCCUGUCCGUUUCUUUCCAGCAAACACUGUUUGCCCGAGUCAGGCUGGUGAGGACACAGAAGAGGGACCUGUUCUGUGUCUCAGGCAUUUCACACCUGUGGCGAUGCUGUGGCAGCUCUUACGUGGUUCUGUGGGUUCUGCUGGGUUCUGCUUCGGUGUGAAGCUCUGCAGAUGUGCAGAGGGGAUCAGCUCUGGUUUCUGAUCAAGCAGGAAAUCUCGCGUUCUCACUUAAAAAUGAAACUGGAAGACAGCACAACUUUAUAGCCAUGCUCCUAUGGCCAGACACGGGACAAAAAGAUUUGUAACAGAAAAAUAUGUGGUGAAAUGACAUUUCCUGUGUUUUUUUGGCUAACCAGUCAGAAAAGUUCCCAUGAGUGAGAGAGGGUUCCUAAGAAACACGCUCCUGUAUUUAUUGUAAAGUCUUCACGGAUCUCCAAGUUUCACAAACAGGAGACGAAACCAUGGCUGUGAAGAAGAACUUGGAAAUCCCAGACCACGAUGAAGACACAGUCCUACAGUCCCACAGGGUGACGUGUCCAAGCUUACAGUGUCAUUGCUUGUCUCAAGGAGCGUCAGGAGUUAAUGACGGGAACUUUUUGGUUUUAAUAAAGCUAUUACAAACAAGGUGGAUACGAACAAGUCUUCUGGUGCACAUGUGAAUGCAUUGCAGGUGGCUACCUGCCUAGCAGUGAAGCUGCUGGGUGUGAUAGAAUUCAUGCAUGCUCAGUGGUGUAAGGCACCAUCAAGAUGUUUCCCCAGUGGCUUUACUGAUUUACAUCCUCACCAGCGAAGGAUCAGAAUUCCAGCUGCUCCAAGUUUUUUUCAGCAUGUGACGUUGGCAGCAUUCAAGUGCAGGCAUUCUGGCAGUGAGGAGUGGGAUUCAGGUUCAUGUUAUUACUCAUACAUAGCUGACCCGGUGAUUGUCAGCUGAAGAAAGAGGAGGUUCAUACAUUUGGAAAGGAGGGCUUUGUUUCUUGUGAAGGGUGCAAGAGUGGCCGUUUUGACAGGCUGGGAAGUGUAGCCUCCAGUCAGAAGUUGGAAACAGACACUUCAUGGGUGGAAAAAAUAAGACAAAAAUUUAUUCAGAAUGGGACAUCCAAUGUACAUACUUGAUAAGCUACAAAAACCAUGAAUAUUUAUGAAAAAAAGAACGUGUACACGUGCACCUGAGCGUCUUGCUUCUCUGUGGAUCGAAUGAUCAAAAGCUGGCGGUGUUAGCGUGAUCUGAGGGUGGCGUUUUUGGCCCUCUGACUUCAGAAGCUGAUGCAGAGGAUAUGAAAACCCUCCCUGCACAUUCUCUGCAGAGUGCCAGAGCUACUCCAUGGCCAGUGGGCUACCAUCAGGAAGGAAUGCUGUUGGUUGUUGAGUCAAGAUCUUAGAAAGGGAGGGUGCGUGAUGAGGCCGGUGAGUCAGCAGCGGAGCAAAUCUCCAAAAGGGCUGGUUUCUGCUUCGCUCUUAGGGAAGGUAGACUCAUGGCGGCAGUGGGGGAGGGGUGCAAUGAGGCGCACCCUACCUCCCGUCCCAUCACAGCCAGGAACUCAGUUCAAGUGUUUCUGGGGUCCCCUUGGCCAAGAGGAGGGCCGUUCAGUCAGUAGGGGGCUGCAGAUUUCG